CCCCUCUCAGGAUGGCACCUGGAGAGUUUCCAGUACUCUACCAGUCUUGGCUAAGGGAGGGAGAGUCAAGCAGAGGCAUACCCAUUCCAUUCCUAGUGGGGCCAGUGGCUAGUGAGUGGCAGGCAAUCUGCUACAAGA
Small nucleolar RNA from Tachyglossus aculeatus (Australian echidna), 138 nucleotides. Lineage: Eukaryota; Metazoa; Chordata; Mammalia; Monotremata; Tachyglossidae. The record is from RefSeq and is a predicted model, not a curated record.